GACGAACGCUGGCGGCGUGCUCAACACAUGCAAGUCGAACGGUAAGGCCCUUCGGGGUACACGAGUGGCGAACGGGUGAGUAACACGUGGGUGAUCUGCCCUGCACUUCGGGAUAAGCCUGGGAAACUGGGUCUAAUACCGGAUAGGACUCCGGACUGCAUGGUCUGGGGUGAAAAGCUUUUGCGGUGUGGGAUGGGCCCGCGGCCUAUCAGCUUGUUGGUGGGGUGAUGGCCUACCAAGGCGACGACGGGUAGCCGGCCUGAGAGGGUGACCGGCCACACUGGGACUGAGAUACGGCCCAGACUCCUACGGGAGGCAGCAGUGGGGAAUAUUGCACAAUGGGCGAAAGCCUGACGCAGCAACGCCGCGUGCGGGAUGACGGCCUUCGGGUUGUAAACCGCUUUCAGCAGGGAAGAAGCCGCAAGGUGACGGUACCUGCAGAAGAAGCACCGGCUAACUACGUGCCAGCAGCCGCAGUAA
RNAcentral lists this ribosomal RNA (480 nucleotides) under uncultured bacterium. RNAcentral's name for it is "partial 16S ribosomal RNA". It matches the Rfam family "Bacterial small subunit ribosomal RNA", at positions 28 to 523 of the family's 1533-position model. The record is from RNAcentral.